RNAcentral lists this non-coding RNA (112 nucleotides) under Megamonas funiformis. Lineage: Bacteria; Bacillati; Bacillota; Negativicutes; Selenomonadales; Selenomonadaceae. The record is from RNAcentral.
AUAUAUUCAGCAAAAGCACCUUGAUGAUGUUGUCCUAUUACACCCAAAUUUUCACAUUGUGCAAAUUUAGCUUUUUUACAGGAAUCACAUUUUCCACAAUAAAGUGCUGGAC